RNAcentral lists this unclassified non-coding RNA (188 nucleotides) under uncultured fungus. RNAcentral's name for it is "sequence contains ITS1". The record is from RNAcentral. Lineage: Eukaryota; Fungi.
UUAACUAUUAGAUAGUACUCAGACGACACUAACAUUCAGGGUCUGGGAUCCUCUGGCGGGCGCUCACCAGCCGGGGCCGGUGGCCGAGGCGGCCCGCCAAAGCAACAAUGUAUGGAGACACGGGUGGGAGAUCUACCCCGGGGGGCAUGAACUCUGUAAUGAUCCCUCCGCAGGUUCACCUACGGAGA